This 545-nucleotide ribosomal RNA is filed under the name uncultured bacterium. RNAcentral's name for it is "bacterial SSU rRNA". It matches the Rfam family "Bacterial small subunit ribosomal RNA", at positions 774 to 1319 of the family's 1533-position model. The record is from RNAcentral.
AGUAAAUAGAUACCCUGGUAGUCCACGCCCUAAACGAUGAUCACUGGGUGUUCGGGGAGCGAUCUCUGAGUAACCGUAAGCUAAACGCGUGAAGUGAUCCGCCUGGGGAGGUACGGUCGCAAGAUUAAAACUACAAAGGAAUUGACGGGGACCCGCACAAGCGGUGGAUGAUGUGGAUUAAUUCGAUGCAACGCGAACAACCUUACCUACCCUUGACAUGUCCGGAAGCCCGGUGAGAGCUGGGGGUGCCCGAAAGGGAACCGGAACACAGGUGCUGCAUGGCUGUCGUCAGCUCGUGUCGUGAGAUGUUGGGUUAAGUCCCGCAACGAGCGCAACCCUUGUCCCUAGUUGCUACGCAAGGGCACUCUAGGGAGACUGCCGGUGACAAACCGGAGGAAGGUGGGGAUGACGUCAAGUCCUCAUGGCCCUUAUGGGUAGGGCUUCACACGUCAUACAAUGGUCGGUACAGAGGGUUGCCAAGCCGCGAGGUGAGCCAAUCCCGGAAAGCCGAUCGUAGUCCGGAUCGCAGUCUGCAACUCGACUGC